Molecule: long non-coding RNA, 754 nt
Filed under: Gallus gallus (chicken)
Lineage: Eukaryota; Metazoa; Chordata; Aves; Galliformes; Phasianidae
Source: RNAcentral
GUUUUCCUGCCUUGUCCUUGGGAAGAAAAAAGAGAAAACCAGAUUACAUGGGGUAGACAGAGGGGAUAGGGCAUUGUGAUGGGACACCCCGUGGUUGCAAUGUACUGAGUAUGAGUAACCAGGGAAGGAAUGAUGGUGCGGUUUAUGCCUUACAGACCAGGCUGUAACUUGUAAGGUAUUUUCAUAUCCUUCAGCGCACAAGUGCCAGAGAAAAGUGGCACCCAGACAAUAAUACAGAUGGUGAACAUAAUUAGGAAGGAGAGCCUUGAGAGAUGCUGCUAAUGAAGACAAAUGAAGGAAAAGGAACUUGACCCCAGAGUAUGAAAUUUUGCUCAUUAAGAAGUGCUUCCAAUUGGCUGAUUGAUAUUAUUUUGAUGUAGAUGGGGUAAUUAAUGACAGGAAGUAAUGCAGCAGGAUAUGAGUUGUGCGGAAUGCACUUCAGUCAAUCUACCUUUUAUUAUGUCUUGGUUUAUUUAUGCACGCUACAUUUGUUAUGCUGCUGCCUGAUGCGGUUCCCACCUUCAUUUGGAAUUUCCUUCACUUGUUUUCUUCAUUCUUUUAUGCUAUUUUGGGAUUUCUUCCUUUUUUUAUGUUUCUGCAUGUAAUUUCCCAAUCUGUUUUUAGUAAUACGAGGAUGCACUUUCAUGGCCACAAGGAACACUUCUGCAUGUGAAACAUUUCUUACAAUAGAAAGUGCCAUUGAAACAAACGAUACUUCCUUCCUACUUCAUUGCACAGGCUAUGGGUAUUGCCA